Oreochromis aureus is the source of this 341-nucleotide long non-coding RNA. NCBI's taxonomy places the organism in Eukaryota, Metazoa, Chordata, Actinopteri, Cichliformes, Cichlidae. The record is from Ensembl.
GAACUCUUGAUUGAGGGAUUUCAGGAGUUUCAGAGUCUAAUUAAAACGCAAGGGAACACUGCAAAGGCCGCAAAAGCAAGGAGAGAGGGCUGGCAGAAAGUUGCUGACAAAUUAAACUCAGCCACAACAGGACCCACUAGAACAUGGGAACAAGUAAAAGUGAAAUAUAAGAAUAUUCUACAGAAUGCAACCAAGAAAAGGGCAGAGCAAAUAAAGACAGGUGGUGGUCCUGCACCCCCUCGUCACACCCCGGCAGAGGAGCUGGCCCUAGGGUUGAAUGCCACCAGACCCAUUGUUGAGAGCAUCCCUGGGGGCAGCUCUUCCUUAGACCAGCAGCCGGG